RNAcentral lists this non-coding RNA (45 nucleotides) under Schistosoma mansoni. The record is from RNAcentral. Lineage: Eukaryota; Metazoa; Platyhelminthes; Trematoda; Strigeidida; Schistosomatidae.
AUCCAGAUGACGCGUCCAAAAUAGGAUCAAACGUGAGUCCUGGAU